This 433-nucleotide ribosomal RNA is filed under the name uncultured bacterium. RNAcentral describes it as "partial 16S ribosomal RNA". It matches the Rfam family "Bacterial small subunit ribosomal RNA", at positions 29 to 507 of the family's 1533-position model. The record is from RNAcentral.
AACGAACGCUGGCGGCAUGCCUAACACAUGCAAGUCGAACGAGACCUUCGGGUCUAGUGGCGCACGGGUGCGUAACGCGUGGGAACCUGCCCUUAGGUUCGGAAUAACUCCCCGAAAGGGGUGCUAAUACCGGAUAAUGUCUUCGGACCAAAGAUUUAUCGCCUUUGGAUGGGCCCGCGUUGGAUUAGCUAGUUGGUAGGGUAAAAGCCGACCAAGGCGACGAUCCAUAGCUGGUCUGAGAGGAUGAUCAGCCACACUGGGACUGAGACACGGCCCAGACUGCGACGGGAGGCAGCAGUGGGGAAUAUUGGAGAAGGGGCGAAAGCCUGAUCCAGCAAUGCCGCGUGAGUGAUGAAGGCCUUAGGGUUGUAAAGCUCUUUUACCCGGGAUGAUAAUGACAGUACCGGGAGAAUAAGCUCCGGCUAACUCCGUG